UCCGGUUUGUCACCGGCAGUCUGGCGUGAGUCCCCAACUAAAUGAUGGCAACACGCCACAGGGGUUGCGCUCGUUGCGCCACUUAAGGCAACACCUCACGGCACGAGCUGACGACAGCCAUGCAGCACCUGUGCGGGCUCCCGAAGGAGGACCGGCUUUCACCGGCUUCACCCCGCAUGUCAAGCCCUGGUAAGGUUCUUCGCGUUGCAUCGAAUUAAGCCACAUGCUCCGCCGCUUGUGCGGGUCCCCGUCAAUUCCUUUGAGUUUUAGCCUUGCGGCCGUACUCCCCAGGCGGGGCGCUUAAUGCGUUAGCUGCGGCACGGAACCCGUGGAUAGGGCCCCACACCUAGCGCCCAACGUUUACGGCAUGGACUAC
This 376-nucleotide unclassified non-coding RNA is filed under the name uncultured Actinomycetes bacterium. Its description in RNAcentral is "uncultured actinobacterium contains 16S-23S intergenic spacer region". Lineage: Bacteria; Bacillati; Actinomycetota; Actinomycetes. The record is from RNAcentral.